GCCUGGCUCUACCUCUCCUAGAUCCAUUUAAGAACUGACUGCCAGGGGGGAAGGAUCUUUUCUGGAGAGCUGGAGUUUAUUAUGGGAGUCAUGGGUAAGGUUUUAACUGAUAGAAUCUCAAUUCAACUGAGAAGAAUACAAAGGAACUGCUCCUUCAUAUACAUGAUCUUGCACGUUGAUCAUAUCAGCAAACUCUGGAUCCACCUGUCACUUGCCAGAAGUCUUGGGAACAGGCGUG
Molecule: long non-coding RNA, 238 nt
Organism: Lagopus muta (rock ptarmigan)
Lineage: Eukaryota; Metazoa; Chordata; Aves; Galliformes; Phasianidae
Exons: 3
Source: RefSeq, a predicted model, not a curated record